GGGUGUCUCUGCCACCGUGGCUGCUGUUGCUGUCGAAUAGAAGAGGGAGGGAGGCUGUCGCACUUCUAGCUGCCGCUGAAGCUCCCCUCACCACUGUCAACGUUGGUUAGGGCAGAGGAGAAGAGGAAGAAUAACGGAGAAGUGAGACUGACGGAGAGGGUAAUACGGUUGUUGUUGAUUUGGAGCUGCUACAAGAACGGUGUUUCCUGCUUCUAAUCCCUGUCCUUUUGAUUUUUGGAGCUGCCAUGGAUGGAGCUUGUAAUCAGAGAAAGCAAGCUGCCGCCACCAACUCUUAAUUCAACCAGUGUCUUCCUCCUUGUUCUGAUUUCAAUUUUCCUAUUUUUGAAACCCCCCUUUCUGGCACCUAUUUCCUGUUACAAUUAGGUCGAGUAUUGAAGCUGGUGCUGCCAUGGGACGGUUGAAGCUGUUACUGAUUCUAAUUUUGCUAUCUGGAGCUGAAAUUGCUUUGGAUUCCUAUCCAAUUUGAAUCCUCUAUCUUACUGCAACCAUGGUCAGUGCUGCGAAGGCUAAUAUUGUUGCUGUUCCGGUUGCGUGAGAGUUACCGCUGCUGCCUUGAAACUAAAAGAGAAGAGAGUUGUUACGUUAAAGUAUGCGAUUGCGACAUCGAGGUAGGGGGUUUAAAACGAUUUCAAUUUAAAAAUGCCUACAAGGUUUAUUGAAUAACUGCAAAUAGAUUUAAUACCUGUGAGUAAUUGUUUGACUAUGUGAAUAUUGAAUUGUGGCUGAAAUUGUAAUUGGAAUGGUUGGGAUUGUGAUUUGGAAUUGUUGAUUAGUGAUAUUGAUUGAUUGUGUGGACUGGGAAUUGUUUGAUGACUAAUUGUUGAGAAUUCCUGAAUUUUAAUGGGUUAUGUUGGAUUUGUUGCCAUUGAGUUGUUAUUUGGUAUAUUGUAAUGUUAAUGAACUUGGUUGGUGGUUGGUUUGGAAUUGGUUUUGAGGGGUUUUGAAGGGUUGGAUUUUGAAUACUAAAUAGAUUGCUGAAAAUCUGAUUUUUGAAAUUAAAAAGUGACUUUGGAAGUGAAUCAGUUAUUCAAUGAUAAUCGAAAUUGUAUAAGAGUAAAGGCUGAGUAAAGUAUGAUAAAAGUUGUUGAGACUCAAUUUUGAGAAGUUUGAAUUAAUUAUAGAACUAGUUAUGAUUUUUCAAGGUUAAAAUGUAAAACUGGAUUUUCUGCAUUAUUUUUAAAAGAAGCCGGAAACUUUGAAAAACUAUAACUAUUUCUGUGAUUAUUGGAAUUGCGUGGGACCAAGUCCGGAUUGAGCUUGGGAAUAUAGGGAACUGGACUGCUGAAUUUGAGACUUUUUCACUAAGUUUAUGAUUUAUGGUAAAUUUUUGAAUUAUGGAAGUCGAAUCUGGUUUUUCUGCUGAGCAUUUAACACAGCAGCAACUUGUUUCCUCUAUUAGAAA
This is a long non-coding RNA of Arachis stenosperma, 1423 nucleotides long. RefSeq lists it as uncharacterized. The record is from RefSeq and is a predicted model, not a curated record. The transcript is spliced from 3 exons. NCBI's taxonomy places the organism in Eukaryota, Viridiplantae, Streptophyta, Magnoliopsida, Fabales, Fabaceae.